UGCGGAGAUGGCAGAGAGGUCAAAUGCGCCUGCCUUGAGAGCAGGUUUCCGAAAGGAAGCGUCGGUUCGACUCCGGCUCUCCGCGU
RNAcentral lists this transfer RNA (86 nucleotides) under archaeon ADurb.Bin336. Its description in RNAcentral is "tRNA-Ser". It matches the Rfam family "tRNA". Rfam says of the family: Transfer RNA (tRNA) molecules are approximately 80 nucleotides in length. Their secondary structure includes four short double-helical elements and three loops (D, anti-codon, and T loops). Further hydrogen bonds mediate the characteristic L-shaped molecular structure. tRNAs have two regions of fundamental functional importance: the anti-codon, which is responsible for specific mRNA codon recognition, and the 3' end, to which the tRNAs corresponding amino acid is attached (by aminoacyl-tRNA synthetases). tRNAs cope with the degeneracy of the genetic code in two manners: having more than one tRNA (with a specific anti-codon) for a particular amino acid; and 'wobble' base-pairing, i.e. permitting non-standard base-pairing at the 3rd anti-codon position. The record is from RNAcentral.